CCUACGGGGUGCAGCAGUGGGGAAUAUUGGGCAAUGGGCGCAAGCCUGACCCAGCAAAGCCGCGUGAAGGAAGAAGGCCCUCGGGUUGUAAACUUCUUUUGUCAGGGACGAAGAAAGUGACGGUACCUGACGAAUAAGCCACGGCUAACUAAGGGCCAGCAGCAGCGGGAAUACGUAGGUGGCAAGCGUUAUCCGGAUUUACUGGGGGUAAAGGGCGUGUAGGCGGGAAUGCAAGUCAGAUGUGAAAUUCCAGGGCUCAACCCUGGAACUGCAUUUGAACCUGUAGUUCUUGAGUGAUGGAGAGGCAGGCGGAAUGCCGUGUGUAGCGGUGAAAUGCGUAGAUAGACGGAGGAACACCAGUGGCGAAGGCGGCCUGCUGGACAUUAACUGACGCUGAGGCGCGAAAGCGUGGGGAGCAAACAGGAUUAGAUACCCUUGUAGUC
Molecule: ribosomal RNA, 443 nt
Filed under: uncultured bacterium
Lineage: Bacteria
Description: partial 16S ribosomal RNA
Rfam family: Bacterial small subunit ribosomal RNA
Source: RNAcentral